Molecule: transfer RNA, 70 nt
Filed under: Ixodes scapularis (black-legged tick)
Lineage: Eukaryota; Metazoa; Arthropoda; Arachnida; Ixodida; Ixodidae
Rfam family: tRNA
About the family: Transfer RNA (tRNA) molecules are approximately 80 nucleotides in length. Their secondary structure includes four short double-helical elements and three loops (D, anti-codon, and T loops).
Source: Rfam by way of RNAcentral
UCCUGGUAGCUCAGUGGGAGAGCACUACACUGGAAAUGGAGAGGUCCCGGGUCGAUACGCGGACCAGGAG